UAAUACGUAGGGUGCGAGCGUUAAUCGGAAUUACUGGGCGUAAAGCGUGCGCAGGCGGUUGUGCAAGACAGGUGUGAAAUCCCCGGGCUUAACCUGGGAACUGCACUUGUGACUGCACAGCUGGAGUGCGGCAGAGGGGGAUGGAAUUCCGCGUGUAGCAGUGAAAUGCGUAGAUAUGCGGAGGAACACCGAUGGCGAAGGCAAUCCCCUGGGCCUGCACUGACGCUCAUGCACGAAAGCGUGGGGAGCAAACAGGAUUAGAUACCCUGGUAGUCCACGCCCUAAACGAUGUCAACUGGUUGUUGGACGGCUUGCUGUUCAGUAACGUAGCUAACGCGUGAAGUUGACCGCCUGGGGAGUACGGCCGCAAGGUU
Molecule: ribosomal RNA, 374 nt
Filed under: uncultured bacterium
Lineage: Bacteria
Description: bacterial SSU rRNA
Rfam family: Bacterial small subunit ribosomal RNA
Source: RNAcentral